This 2196-nucleotide ribosomal RNA is filed under the name Escherichia coli O157:H7 str. EC4076. RNAcentral describes it as "bacterial LSU rRNA". It matches the Rfam family "Bacterial large subunit ribosomal RNA", at positions 630 to 2812 of the family's 2925-position model. Lineage: Bacteria; Pseudomonadati; Pseudomonadota; Gammaproteobacteria; Enterobacterales; Enterobacteriaceae. The record is from RNAcentral.
AUAUUCUGUAGCAAGGUUAACCGAAUAGGGGAGCCGAAGGGAAACCGAGUCUUAACUGGGCGUUAAGUUGCAGGGUAUAGACCCGAAACCCGGUGAUCUAGCCAUGGGCAGGUUGAAGGUUGGGUAACACUAACUGGAGGACCGAACCGACUAAUGUUGAAAAAUUAGCGGAUGACUUGUGGCUGGGGGUGAAAGGCCAAUCAAACCGGGAGAUAGCUGGUUCUCCCCGAAAGCUAUUUAGGUAGCGCCUCGUGAAUUCAUCUCCGGGGGUAGAGCACUGUUUCGGCAAGGGGGUCAUCCCGACUUACCAACCCGAUGCAAACUGCGAAUACCGGAGAAUGUUAUCACGGGAGACACACGGCGGGUGCUAACGUCCGUCGUGAAGAGGGAAACAACCCAGACCGCCAGCUAAGGUCCCAAAGUCAUGGUUAAGUGGGAAACGAUGUGGGAAGGCCCAGACAGCCAGGAUGUUGGCUUAGAAGCAGCCAUCAUUUAAAGAAAGCGUAAUAGCUCACUGGUCGAGUCGGCCUGCGCGGAAGAUGUAACGGGGCUAAACCAUGCACCGAAGCUGCGGCAGCGACACUGUGUGUUGUUGGGUAGGGGAGCGUUCUGUAAGCCUGUGAAGGUGUGCUGUGAGGCAUGCUGGAGGUAUCAGAAGUGCGAAUGCUGACAUAAGUAACGAUAAAGCGGGUGAAAAGCCCGCUCGCCGGAAGACCAAGGGUUCCUGUCCAACGUUAAUCGGGGCAGGGUGAGUCGACCCCUAAGGCGAGGCCGAAAGGCGUAGUCGAUGGGAAACAGGUUAAUAUUCCUGUACUUGGUGUUACUGCGAAGGGGGGACGGAGAAGGCUAUGUUGGCCGGGCGACGGUUGUCCCGGUUUAAGCGUGUAGGCUGGUUUUCCAGGCAAAUCCGGAAAAUCAAGGCUGAGGCGUGAUGACGAGGCACUACGGUGCUGAAGCAACAAAUGCCCUGCUUCCAGGAAAAGCCUCUAAGCAUCAGGUAACAUCAAAUCGUACCCCAAACCGACACAGGUGGUCAGGUAGAGAAUACCAAGGCGCUUGAGAGAACUCGGGUGAAGGAACUAGGCAAAAUGGUGCCGUAACUUCGGGAGAAGGCACGCUGAUAUGUAGGUGAAGUCCCUCGCGGAUGGAGCUGAAAUCAGUCGAAGAUACCAGCUGGCUGCAACUGUUUAUUAAAAACACAGCACUGUGCAAACACGAAAGUGGACGUAUACGGUGUGACGCCUGCCCGGUGCCGGAAGGUUAAUUGAUGGGGUCAGCGCAAGCGAAGCUCUUGAUCGAAGCCCCGGUAAACGGCGGCCGUAACUAUAACGGUCCUAAGGUAGCGAAAUUCCUUGUCGGGUAAGUUCCGACCUGCACGAAUGGCGUAAUGAUGGCCAGGCUGUCUCCACCCGAGACUCAGUGAAAUUGAACUCGCUGUGAAGAUGCAGUGUACCCGCGGCAAGACGGAAAGACCCCGUGAACCUUUACUAUAGCUUGACACUGAACAUUGAGCCUUGAUGUGUAGGAUAGGUGGGAGGCUUUGAAGUGUGGACGCCAGUCUGCAUGGAGCCGACCUUGAAAUACCACCCUUUAAUGUUUGAUGUUCUAACGUGGACCCGUGAUCCGGGUUGCGGACAGUGUCUGGUGGGUAGUUUGACUGGGGCGGUCUCCUCCUAAAGAGUAACGGAGGAGCACGAAGGUUGGCUAAUCCUGGUCGGACAUCAGGAGGUUAGUGCAAUGGCAUAAGCCAGCUUGACUGCGAGCGUGACGGCGCGAGCAGGUGCGAAAGCAGGUCAUAGUGAUCCGGUGGUUCUGAAUGGAAGGGCCAUCGCUCAACGGAUAAAAGGUACUCCGGGGAUAACAGGCUGAUACCGCCCAAGAGUUCAUAUCGACGGCGGUGUUUGGCACCUCGAUGUCGGCUCAUCACAUCCUGGGGCUGAAGUAGGUCCCAAGGGUAUGGCUGUUCGCCAUUUAAAGUGGUACGCGAGCUGGGUUUAGAACGUCGUGAGACAGUUCGGUCCCUAUCUGCCGUGGGCGCUGGAGAACUGAGGGGGGCUGCUCCUAGUACGAGAGGACCGGAGUGGACGCAUCACUGGUGUUCGGGUUGUCAUGCCAAUGGCACUGCCCGGUAGCUAAAUGCGGAAGAGAUAAGUGCUGAAAGCAUCUAAGCACGAAACUUGCCCCGAGAUGAGUUCU